UUGACUGUCAUCAAUAUUAAACUAAUUCAUACUUUUUGUUUUUCUUACAGAGACAGGAGCCCCCAGGACGAAUGUGGAUUCAGCAGCACAUUUUAAGUUAAGUAUAUUUUUAUUUGAAGUGACCCAUAUAGACUGUCUUCAAUAUUAAACUAAUUUAUACUUUUUGUUUUUCUUACAGAGACAGGAGCCCCCAGGAGCCUGUAGUGGUUGGAGAGAAAGAGAUGACAUGAUUUACGUAUCAAGCAAUUGAAACAUUGUUAUCAGAUGAAGAGACUUCAGAAGCCAAGUUACACAACAAUCUCAAGAUCCAAAAUCGCAAAAAGACAUGGUCUCAAAUAUGGAGUGGGUAAUGUCCAUUUCUUCUGACUCAAAGUAUUGGCAAUUAGUUUAGCCUGAAAAAAUUGAAAGCUUUGUUGACUUUAUUACCUCCUCUGAAGUAAUAAAGGACAUGCCAUUUUGAGAGAAGAUGAUGAAACUCUCAUCAGGAAAAAUUAUUCCAACUCCAAAUGUGAUAUGUUGUAUAGCCCCAGCAGCUAUCGUC
Long non-coding RNA from Mytilus californianus (California mussel), 541 nucleotides. RefSeq lists it as uncharacterized. NCBI's taxonomy places the organism in Eukaryota, Metazoa, Mollusca, Bivalvia, Mytilida, Mytilidae. The transcript is spliced from 3 exons. The record is from RefSeq and is a predicted model, not a curated record.